This is a regulatory RNA element of 58 nucleotides. It matches the Rfam family "msiK RNA". The record is from Rfam.
UGAUACCCCCACUACCUAGGACCGUCCGGCACGUUCCUGCCGGGUGAGGGGCGCGACU